GUGGGGAAUCUUCCGCAAUGGACGAAAGUCUGACGGAGCAACGCCGCGUGAGUGAAGAAGGUUUUCGGAUCGUAAAGCUCUUUCGUUAGGGACGAACGUGCUCUUUGUGAAUAAUGAGGAGUAAUGACGGUACCUAAAUAAGAAGCCACGGCUAACUACGUGCCAGCAGCCGCGGUAAUACGUAGGUGGCAAGCGUUGUCCGGAAUUAUUGGGCGUAAAGCGCGCGCAGGCGGGAUAUCAAGUCUGUCUUAAAAGCGCGAGGCUCAACCUCGUGAGGGGACAGAAACUGGUAUUCUUGAGUGUCGGAGAGGAAAGUGGAAUUCCAAGUGUAGCGGUGAAAUGCGUAGAGAUUUGGAAGAACACCAGUGGCGAAGGCGACUUUCUGGACGAUGUCUGACGCUGAGGCGCGAAAGCUAGGGGAGCGAACGGGAUUAGAUACCCUGGUAGUCC
RNAcentral lists this ribosomal RNA (450 nucleotides) under uncultured bacterium. RNAcentral describes it as "partial 16S ribosomal RNA". It matches the Rfam family "Bacterial small subunit ribosomal RNA", at positions 354 to 796 of the family's 1533-position model. The record is from RNAcentral.